UACGGAGGGUGCAAGCGUUAAUCGGAAUUACUGGGCGUAAAGCGCACGCAGGUGGCUGAGUCAGUCGAUUGUGAAAGCCCUGGGCUUAACCUGGGAAUUGCAGUCGAUACUACUCAGCUAGAGUAUGGGAGAGGGUAGUGGAAUUCCCGGUGUAGCGGUGAAAUGCGCAGAUAUCGGAAGGAACAUCAGUGGCGAAAGCGACUUCCUGGACCAGUACCGACGUUCAGGCACGAAAGCGUGGGGAGCAAACAGG
Molecule: ribosomal RNA, 253 nt
Filed under: uncultured bacterium
Lineage: Bacteria
Description: partial 16S ribosomal RNA
Rfam family: Bacterial small subunit ribosomal RNA
Source: RNAcentral